UCCAGACUCCUACGGGAGGCAGCAGUGGGGGAUAUUGCACAAUGGGGGAAACCCUGAUGCAGCGACGCCGCGUGAGUGAAGAAGUAUUUCGGUAUGUAAAGCUCUAUCAGCAGGGAAGAAAAAAGACGGUACCUGACUAAGAAGCCCCGGCUAACUACGUGCCAGCAGCCGCGGUAAUACGUAGGGGGCAAGCGUUAUCCGGAUUUACUGGGUGUAAAGGGAGCGUAGACGGCAAUACAAGUCGGAAGUGAAAUACCCGGGCUCAACCUGGGAACUGCUUUGGAAACUGUAUGGCUGGAGUGCUGGAGAGGUAAGCGGAAUUCCUAGUGUAGCGGUGAAAUGCGUAGAUAUUAGGAGGAACACCAGUGGCGAAGGCGGCUUACUGGACAGUAACUGACGUUGAGGCUCGAAAGCGUGGGGAGCAAACAGGAUUAGAUACCCCAGUAAC
This 448-nucleotide ribosomal RNA is filed under the name uncultured bacterium. RNAcentral describes it as "bacterial SSU rRNA". It matches the Rfam family "Bacterial small subunit ribosomal RNA", at positions 330 to 794 of the family's 1533-position model. The record is from RNAcentral.